Oryctolagus cuniculus (rabbit) is the source of this 12137-nucleotide non-coding RNA. NCBI's taxonomy places the organism in Eukaryota, Metazoa, Chordata, Mammalia, Lagomorpha, Leporidae. The record is from RefSeq and is a predicted model, not a curated record.
UGAGGUCUUGUCAGCAGGUAACUACUUCCUGCUUCUGCCACACAACCCAAGCCCUGUUCUCUGGUAUCCAGAAGUGGCCCAGUGGCAGAGUCAAAUCUGAGGUGCUGGGUCAGGAAAUGAAUGAUGAAGGUGAAUGCUACCAAUGAAGCACCUAUCCACCUGUAUGGUAUGAAGGAAAAGCAUUCUGAGGUGAUAAAAAGGUGUUCCAUUGUGCAACACAGAGAUUGGAAAGCUGCAGUACAUACAUAAGAUGAAGCAUUCAAACAGAACUGAGAAGUAAGAUAUUGGUGGUCAAGAUUGUAAAAAGGAAAGUGUGAGUGGUGGCGUAGGGUUCCAGUGAAUUUUGGAAAUUUCAUGUGAGCUCAUGUAAGCAGACACUGGGAAGACAUUCCCUUAAACAGACUCUGAAUUUGAGGACAUCAGCUGGAGCCCCUCUCUUUUGCCCAGUGUGGCUCUGGGAUUUUGCCUCUGUCGUGUCAUGCACAGUGAGAUAAGGACAGGAAGAGUCCCCUUAUCUGGCUUUCAGGACUGGACAAAGACAUCCCACAUUACAGCUGAAGGAGAGUGAUACCUCUACUGUAGGAGUACUCUCAAGAACAAGAAUUUCUGCUCAUAUUGGGACACCCCUGUAUUCUAAAAAUUACCACAGAUGAAAUUAGGAGUUUCUCUCUUGAGUCUUUGUAUCCAUGGACAAGGAGAAAAUCCUGGCACCUGGGGUGAAGAAGAUCAUCCACAAACAUGUUUUCCAUCUUGCGUUUCUCACGAGGACAGAAGACCUCAGCUGCAGAGCCUCAGGGAAGAAAGCUUCCAGGUUCCCCCAUGGACCAGUGGACAGCUGGUCGAAAGAUGUAAGAUGGAGUAGUAUUAAAGUGGCUUGAUUCAGACAAAAAUAUAAUAAUUAUUAUAUUUUAAUGGUGAAUAUACACUUGUGAACUUUAAUGCUUCUGGUCUUCAAAAUUUAGGAUGUGUCCCUGAUUCUAACUUUUUCUGAACAAAAAUACAGACAUCGCAGAAGGGAGAUUAUUUUGCUUCUGCCCCUCUUUAGCAUACCUUCUUUUUCAGAUAAUUAUAUAUGUUUCACAUAUAAAUAUAUGUGAAUGCUACAGAAUAUUGUAUCUUGUAGGACAGCAUAAUUGUUUUCUGCACAUCUGUUUAUGAAGGUGCUAAUUUUCUGAUAUCUACUGUAAUACUAUAGGAAGUAGGAUUACAUCGCCUAGAUCUUUAAUAGAAGGUAGAUAUUAGGUCAUAGAUCAUUGCAUUGUUGUUAAAGCAAAAGGAUUUGAAAAGUUUAGUUGGUGCUGCCAAGGCAAUGCAACUGAUUAAGUAUUUUAGGCAUUUGUCCAAAGAUCAUGCCAUGAAAUAAUCUAAUGGAUACUAGCUUGGUAUAGCAAUAUUACUCUCUUCACAUAUGAAGUGUCCUAAUUUGAUAUGUGCACAUGACAUCCCAUUUAUGAAAUAUUUAUUAUUAGUAGUAGGAUUCCCCAUGGUUAUGCAUGCAACACAUCAUUUAUGUGUACCCCAAAUGAUGGAGACCAGGAUAUAGUGAAUGUCCAGUAUUUACAGUAGAUUCUAUGAAUAGUACCCAGGUCCCCCAUUAUGAAUGCCAUGCAAACUGGAGAUCAUAAUCAAAUAUCAGCAAAUUCAGGAGAAAAUACCUGCAUUGAUGAUACUUGGAAAAUAAUUCAUAGUUGAACUUACAUAUUGAACUUACAAUCGAUUUAGACACUAUAUGCUCCAAUGUUAGACUGACCAAGUCUAGAAUAUAUAAUAAUUACUAAUAAACUGUUCUUAGCGAUAAGGAACACAGCAUAAAACAGAUCAAAAGGGCAACUCUCAGAAUUGCCUAGUGUGACAAUGAGCUUUCUAGAUCUUUUGAUUCCAGCGGGGAAGCAGGAGGAAGAAAUGAGAGCAGGAAUAGAUGGAGGUGUAGAAGAAUGAGGAGAAGACCAGCAACAUAUGUAAUACAAAUCUAAGUAUUAUUUGAUCAUUUAGCAAGGAUUUUCAAAUUUCCUCAUUCUACAUACAAAGUGUGAAUGAGGUAUUUGGAUAACAAAUAUUAAUAGAAACUAUAUAUAUAUGUAUAUAACAGUAGAGAGAACAACUGUGUAUAUAUGGUAUAAAACACAUAUAUAAAUAUAGAAAGAGGUAAUAUUUAUAUCAUAUACACACACAUACAUAUUAUGCAGCAACAUGAAUGAAGAAAUGAAAAACUGUCACUUCCUCUGGAGCACACAGUGACCAUUAUCAAGCAGUGAACGUGAUGUGGUAUACUCAUCAAUGCUCAACACCCAGCGCAUCUAAUAUAAAUACAAAGGAAAUACAAAGGGCUCCUCAUUUUCAUUUGUUGUGAAAUGUCAGAUGCCAGAAAAUAGAAAUCCAUUGUGUUCUUUGCACGGAAGGCUAUUUGUACUCAAUUCUGUAAAAAAAAAAAAAAAAAAAAAAAAAAUUGAAUGAAUGAGGCCUGUUUAUAGAGUAAGUACUGAUACCAAUGCUGAUGAUUUAGUUUAACAUAUGCUUAGUGUUCCAAAUAAAGGGUUAUCUACCUUAACUUUAGGCAUCAUGGGCCUCAUAGCCCAGUGUUUCAAGUCCACCCUGUGAGUGUUUUAGGCUUCUCUAAAGUGUUCUACACUUUUCACUGUUCUUCAUUGAAGUCUGAAUCUGAUUUCAUUUUCCUGGCUUGUGAUGGUGGUUGAUGGGUAAGUUUUAUGGGGAAGAGGUUUUUCUGGAUAAAGUCCAGACUUUGGUCUACCAUUCUCAGUGGUCUGAGAUUUUCUCUCUUUCUGAUAAUAGAGCCUUGAGUUGAGUUACUCUCUUUUUCCCAUUACUAACUGCAGUCUUAUGAUUAUAUGAUUCCUGCUUCAAGAAGCAUUUGGUGAUGCAAUGAUGUGAAGAAUCAUUGUAGUUUGUGAAUAUAAGAAACAACUAUAGAGGCAGUGCUAAAGAGGACGUGCCUUUCCAUUAUAUAUGUUUUCAUUAACAAGUUGAAUUCAUUUCCUAUAUUUGCAAGAAAUGUAGGGAGGGCAUUCCAGAGUAUAUUGUAAUAUUUACUUUAGAUAUCAAAUAUCAUAACUUGGAAGAUGUUGCCAGAAAUGAAUUAAAUUGAUGAGGUAGGAGUACAAAAAGAUCAUGUUCUUUGGCUGCAUGGAUAGCCAGGUGAUAACAUGCCCAAGACUUUAUGAUGUAAUAGCAGAGCUUAUUUUCAGAAUCAUUUAGACUAGAAGACCAGGAUGAAGGUAGUAGCAGCUUUGAUUCUUGUGAGGGUGUGUCCUGCAGCAAAUACGACAGUCUUCACACUCUACCCUCAGUAUGUGUUAAAAGAAUGAUUGGAAUUUAGGAAUUUUGGCCAGAACAGUCCAACUGUAACAGUUAUGGGAGUAGAGUUGAUGAUAAUCUGGAUUGGAUGCUUCUCCCUUAAUGAUCCUUGUGCCUUUCCUGCAGAUUUCAGUCCAAAAACUACCAGUAUGUUCUGGCCUUGGUUUUUGAUAUUGAGAUCAUCAAAAAGAACCCCCAUUUUUUACCCAACAUGACCUGGGAAUUUGGUCUCUAUAAUGGCAUGCACAGUGACAUGAUGGUGACAGGGAAUCCCUUCCUCUGGCUUGCGGGCCUGGAAUAGGACAUUGCUAAUUACAUGUGUAGGAAAGAGCAAGUCUGUAGCCAGGAUUUCAGGAAUGAGCAUUAGUGUCCAAAUAGGGACACUGCUAGAACUCUACAAAACUCCACAGGUGAGUGUUUACAGGAAAGAUAGGGGAAAAUAUCAUAUCACCUUAACUGCCUUACUCAGAACAAAAAGGGAAAUGACUGACACCUUAUGCUUUAGCCACAAUGUGUAAUCUAAAGAGGAGCCAUGCAGAGGUUUGGAGGAGUAACCACAUUUGCUUGAUACAGAGGUGUGGUGAAAUGAAAAUGGAAACAUUUUCCUCAACCUGUGAGUCUAAACUCACAACCGAGGAAGUUCUCAUGUAGUGGGAGAUGAGAAAAAUGGAAUAUUCAAAUACCUGUGACACUUCAAACAUUUGCUUAAUUACCUUCAGAAAUAAGAUUGUAUAUUCUGGAAAUAACCUUACACAUAUUUCUUGCAUUUUCCUUUAGCUGACUCUUGGGUCUUUUGAACUGCUUCUGAGUGACAGUGGUCAGUUAGCUUCUCUCUAUCAGAUGGUCCCCAAAGACACUUCUCUGGCCCUUGGCGUGGUCUCCCUGAUGCUCCAUUUCAGUUUCAUCUGGAUGGGUUUGGCCAUUUCAGACCUCCCAAAAGGUACUCAGUCUAUUUCUGAUUUGAAAAUUGAGAUGCAGAAGAAUGGUAUCUGCCUAGACUUUUGGAAUUUAUUCCAGCCACUGAGGAUUCAUGAUCUUGUAUCCCCUGGCCGUAUCACAUCCAGAUGCUAAAAUGAUCAGCAAAGGUGGUUAUUCUUUUCUGUGACACUGAUUUUCUCAUGGGAAGAUUUAAUGACAUUGAAAGUCUGAGUCACCACCUCACAAUGGGAUUUUGCCACCAACUGGAGACUUUUUCUGCUCCACUCAUUCCAUGGGACUCUCAUGUUUUCACACCACCAUAGUGAGAUCUCGGGUUUCAAAAAUUUUCUUCAGACACCAAACCCUUCCAAAUACCCAGAAGACAUUUACCUCUCCAGAUUCUGGUUGCUAGUUUUUGAUUGCUCAGUUACUGGAAUAACCUGCAAAACCUUGCAUAACUGUCCACUGAAUGCCUCCUUGGAAUGGUUGCCUCUGCUUCAUUUUGAUAUGACCAUAUACAAUGCUGUGUAUGCUGUGGCCCACAGCGUACAUGAGAUGCUUCUACAAGAGGUAGAAAUGCAGCCAGUGAACAAUGGGGCAAAGGUAGCAUUUUCUCCCUAGCAGGUAACUUGGUUUCCACUGCAUGACAUGUACUCCUGAAGUGAUCCCCUUAAGAGCUUCUGCAGGUGUUCAAACCAAAUAGCUUGGGAUCCUUUCUUAAAUCACCAGAAAUCAUGCAGUUGUUUCAGUGUCUAGGAUAUAAAUGUGCCCCUUUCAUUAACUUUGUCUUCAGCAACAAGGUUCCAUUGACUACUGUGAAAACAUCUGUGGAUAAGUAUCAGUGCUGUGUGAAAAAGAAUGCAGCAUCUUCUCUAUUUAAGGUUUAUGUAUAUGAAAUACCUAGCCUUUGUCUCUAUUUUAAAACUAAGCAGUAGGAGAAUUACUUCUAGUGUCAGAUGGUGCUGAGGUGUUCAGGGAUAUUGGAGUUAAUGAUCUUAGGUAAUUUGCACACAUUUGUAUGUGGGUAGCUUCAUUUUACUGUAUGUUGUCAUAGAAUCAUGGAGAAAGUAAUAGAGUCUAGAUUUGUCCAAAUCUCACACCUAGUGAUUUUGAUUGCUCAUGUUUUUUAAUGAAAAUGAUUGAAAUCUUGUGGGGAGCAACUCAAACUAGACUGCUACUGGAAUUCAGACUUAUUCUAUGCAUCUGCUCUCCCACAAUAUGGCGCUGGGAGAGGAGGAAACAGCUUCUACACAGCUGCCUCCAGUUCAACCAAUAAACAGCAGGACCUGCUCCUGAUUGGAGGAGAGCAGCGUACUCGGCGUGUGGGUAGCAGAGUUGGGAUUGGUGGAAGAGGACUAUAAAGGAGGAGAGAGACAACAUGCACAAGGAACAUCUAAGGGGAACAUCUAUCUGAAGGAACACCUGUGCUGUCCCCGAGAGAGCCGGUCGGUGGUGUGCCACUCCCCUGCGGAAGUGGGGAAAGUGGCAGGGGGAACCGCCCUUCCACGGAGGUGGAAGGGAUGGUAGCCAACCCGGGAAGAACCAGCAGCAAACCCGGGGAGGGCCGAGCAGACAAAAGAACAGCGCAGGGUCCUGUGUUGUUCCUCCACGAAGAAGGGGAGCGGCAUAAUGGUGCCGUGACUCGGAUAUGAAGCCUAGGAGACAUAAUGGUGCCGUGACUCAGAUAGGAAACCUAGACAGGGUUUAGUGUCAUUCCUCCAUGAAGAGGGGGAGCGACAUAAUGGUGCCGUGACUCGGAUAAGAAACUUAGGAGGGAAGAAACGGAAAGAAGUGGGAAAAUACCGGAGAGAGAGACUAGCAAAGAGCCUAGGGAAAAGCCAGACGGAAAAGGUGCUGGAAGAAGCUAUUGAAAGCCUAGGCAUAGACUCGGAUACGGACUAUGGCGGGGAAGCUGGGAGAAAUCUCUAAGGUUGAAAGUGAAAGUGAAACCUAGAAGAAAUUUAGACUCGGAUACGGACUGUGGGGAGAAGCCAGGAGAAGUGAGAGGGGAAUAUUGUUGGAAGAAAAGUUAGGAAACAUACCGGGUAGAGAAAAAUAUGUUAGGGAGGAUGAAGCCGCGGGGGCAGGCUGAGGUGGAGACGUAAGCUAGCUUGGGAUUCUUCAAGUCAGCCCGGGGAGCAAAAGGUGAAAAGCUAAAACUAGAGGCGGACGCGUAAGCCAGGUUGGAAUCUGUCAGAUUAGCCCGGGGAGCAAAAGACGGGAAGCCAAACCGAAAGGUGCGGACGUGAGCUAGGUUGAAUUCACCAGGUUAGCCCGGGGAGAGCGCGGGGAUCACAAGCAGGGGAGCGCACAGGGCGCAAGUAGAUAGGGAACGCAGAGCUGGCGCAAAGGCCAUGGUGGGGGCGCAAAGGGCGUGGAGACCACGGAGCGCGCAGAGCCGGGAAGCCGCCGUGGGGCGAGGCGUCGAGAAGCAGCCUCGGGGUGGGCGCCGGGAAGCCAUGGGGAUAAGAGAAACAGAAGUAUAGAAGUAAAAUGAGAGAAAUAGGAAUGCUGGCAGAUAGAAGUAAAAUAGGAGAAAUAGGAAUGCCCGGAGAUAGAGAAAUAGAGAAAAAUAAGGCCUCCCCAUAACAUAGCAAUGAGAGAGCUUGGAUUCGGUCUGCCUGAUUAGUAUGACGAUAAGCACCUGUGGGCAGCUGCAGGUCACCAAAGACAGGCACGUUAUCAACACCAAUAAAUCUCCCCACAAGACGGCAAUGAGAGGGCUUGGAUUUGGUUUGCCUGAUUGGUAGGGCUUGUAAGCACCUGCAGGCAGUUCUAGCAGAGCAGAGCAUGCGCUGCAGGGCACCGAACACAGGCACGCAUCAGCGCCUAAAAAGCUCCUCACAACAUGGCGAAGAGAGGACCCGGAUUCGGUUUGCCUGAUUGGUAGGGCUUGUAAGCACCUGUGGGCAACUCUAGCAAGCAGAGCAGAGUGUGUGCCGCGGGGCACCGAAGACAGGCGCGUAUCAACACCAAAAAUAAAAAGAAAGGGGGAUCUGUGGGAAGCAACUCAGACUAGACUGCUACUGGAAUUCAGACUUAUUCUAUGCAUCUGCUCUCCCACAAUAUGGCGCUGGGAGAGGAGGAAACAGCUUCUACACAGCUGCCUCCAGUUCAACCAAUAAACAGCAGGACCUGCUCCUGAUUGGAGGAGAGCAGCGUACUCGGCGUGUGGGUAGCAGAGUUGGGAUUGGUGGAAGAGGACUAUAAAGGAGGAGAGAGACAACAUGCACAAGGAACAUCUAAGGGGAACAUCUAUCUGAAGGAACACCUGUGCUGUCCCCGAGAGAGCCGGUCGGCGGUGUGCCGCUCCCCUGCGGAAGUGGGGAAAGUGGCAGGGGGAACCGCCCUUCCACAGAGGUGGAAGGGACGGUAGCCAACCUGGGAAGAACCAGCAGCAAACCCGGGGAGGGCCGAGCAGACAAAAGAACAGCGCAGGGUCCUGUGUUGUUCCUCCACGAAGACGGGGAGCGACAAAAUCUGACUUACUGUGACAUAGUUCUGUAUCUGGUUUCUUUGAAUUCAUAGAGUUGCUACAAAUGUGUUCCUUUGUGUAGCUGUGAUUACAGACCAAGAGAUACUUUCUCUAACUUGAAUUUGUUGUACAAAUUUUUGAGCAGUCACUUGAGAGGAUGGCACAUUUUUUUAGCUGCACCUGUUUCUCAAGCACCUCCAAUUUGCCAAUCCUGCUGGUGACCUAGUGAAUUUGAAUCAAAAGAGAAAAUUGGAUGUUGAGUAUGACAUUCUCAACUUCUGUAAUUUUCCAAAAGCUGUUGGAUGUAAGGUGAAAAUAGUGUUUCUUCCCCAUGAGCAACAGUUGUCUCUCUUUGAGGAUGUAAUAGAGUGGGCCACAGAAAUUAAAGGCGUAAUCUGUUCCUAAUUUUAAGAUUCACACUACACAUUGUUACCCACAGUUGGUAUGGUAUUUUGUGUCACUUGGCUUAAUAAAAAUACCUUUACAGACAUUAAUCCACUCCCCUUCCAACCUAUAUAUGUUUCUUGUGUUUGUGGCAUCUGAGGAAGGAUAACAAAGACACUUGUUCUUCCAUAUGUUUUGAGUCUAUUUCAUGGCACAGAGUCAAUAUGGCAUGCAAUCAGUGUAUUAGAAACAGGUACUUUUAAGUUUUAAGAGCAUAGAUUCUCCAGGACUAAAUACCCUACUUGAAGUUUAGAUAACAGUCCCAACUAUGACCUACAUCCAUCUGAGUUUUCUCAGAUGCCAUGCUCAGUGCAGUGAGAGUUGUAGCCCUGGACUCAGUAAAAAUGCUCUGGAGGGAAAGCCUACCUGUUGUUUUGAUUGCACACCUUGUUCAGAAAAUGAGAUUUCCAAUCAGACAGGUAAUUCAGUGCCUGUUUCAUGGUGAAGUUAACACCUGUCUCAAAAGUCUUCAUCUUUGACAGAAAAAAAGAAGUGGAAUGUGACUGAUGAGAAAAUUCUGCCUACCUUCAGGUAGUAAUUAUCAUAUUUUAAUACAUAAUGAUCUUCAGAAGGAUAAAGAUUUUCAACUACACUAAACAUUAUUUUGUACUCAAGAAAACAUAAGAAAGAUUCAGUGUCACUGGCACUCUGACCAAGUGAUCUGUGGGAUUACAUGUGUUGUAAAAAAUGAACAGAAAUCAAUAAUGGAGAAUUUUUACUCCUGAACACUAUGUAGAAUUUCUCAUAUUUUCCAUUAAGCAGUAAGAUAUGAUCAUUGCAUAUAUCAGGAAGAUUUUCCAGCUUUAGCUUGUGAUGGAUGAGUAGUUACUUUAACCAUAUACUUGGUAUCAUUCCAGUUUUCUUGGAAACAGAUUGGUAAUAGUUAGAUUCUGGCAACAGUUAAAUCAGUUGGAGUAAGAUGUUCUAUGGGCCUGGCACCAUGGCUCACUUGGCUAAUCCAAGUUUGUAGAAUUUAUUUGAAAGAGUUUUGGAGAAUGAGGGAGAGACAAAGAAGGAGAGAUCUACUAUCUUUUAGUUGACUCCUGUCUGCAAUGGCCAGAGCUGGACCAGACUGAAGGAAUGAGCAUCAUCUGACUCAUUCAGAUGUGAGUACAGAACUCAAACCCUUGGGCCAUCCUCACUGCUUUUCCCAGGCCAUUAGCACAGUUGGAUCAGAAGUGGAGCAGCUGAGAUAGAUCCCGAGAAAUAUGAUGUGUGCAUAUACGGCAAUGCAUGUGACAACGAUUUUUAAUUGUAAUGUCCAAAGAAUUGUCUGGAAUUACACUAAUAGAUUCUGUACCUUUCACAUCGACCUCUUUAAAAACAAUGUUCUGGCUUUAUAUGUGAAAAUGAUAUCUCCUUGAUGAUAUGUUAUUUAGUAUGAUAUAUUAUUUAGUAUUAUUAGUUGGGUUGAUGGUGUUUGUGCAUUAUCGGAAGAAUAUAUUCUUGAAUGCAUUGCUUUCCAUCCAUUUUCUCUAUUACCACAGGCCUGUAUCUAUCUUUAAAAGAAACGGAGAAAUUUAUUUUCCAUGUGGAAAUCAUAUUCCCGCCUUUAAGGUGCAAGUAGUAGGCACAGGGCAAAUAAAUCCAGUUUUGAUGCAUUUAUAAAGGAAAACCACCACAAUCCUACUGCUGAGGCAGCUCCCACCACAGUCUUCUGUCAGAUGUGUCCUGCUCAGAAUCAUGUCUGUGUCAGGGACCCUUAGUGGUGCGGUGGAGUGAUCUGAUUGAAAUGGGACAAAUGUGCUGUUGGAGUGCGACAUUCCUGCAGUUUUGACCUCUACCUAAGUCAGGCCUGUUCCUGCCUUUCUACCUUUCUGUCGGGGUCAGUGCCGUGUGCUGCCCCCAGAGGGCACCCAUGGUGCUGGGUUGGAACCUGGCCCAGAGACUGCCUGAAUGCACCUGAAGUUGCCCCCCAGGGGAUCUGUGAAAUUUAGCCUCUCAGGUUGUCCCCUCCCUGCCACUCUGGGAAUUUGCAGAGACCCACACACCAGCCAUCGCUAGCCCCUGCUUUGAGUCUUAAGUGGAUGCCAGAAGCCAAGGGAGGCACCUAAGGCUUUUCGUGAGAGAAGAGAGGUGAGAACUGCAUCUUACACAGGUGUCCUUCAUGGCCCAAUGUGGCCUCUUCUGGUCCCUAUGCUGGGUCACUGAGACCUUGGAAAGAGUCGUGCUGUCCCAGCCUUAGGGAGGGCCCUGUAUUCCCCUCAUAGCUGUCUCUCAGUGCCUCAUCGAGGGGAAUGCAAGAAUCCCUGCCACGUUCUGUGGUGAGAUGUGCACCUUCCAGGGAUGUUCCUGGGCCCAGUGAGGCCUGCCAGCACCUCGCUGUGGAAAAGCCCAGUUUUCCUAUAAUGUAAAAUAAUCUUUCUUCUUUCUUUUGUCUCCUCUGACUUGGAAAAGUACCUCACAUCUCUACCCUCCAUUAGGGAAUACAGCCUCGUUGUUUCACACUGCACCCCAACGUUAGAUGAGAGUUAGCUUUACCCUUGUUAUUCUGCCAAGCCAGUUCACCUGGGUAUAAUCUGGCAAUUUGAAUCUUGCUCGUACUGAGUCUCAUCAUACAACUUGAACCUUGCUGGUAUUAGAUUUAGAGAUGCAGCGUUAUCGCCAUUUGUAUUUUAUGUUUUCUGGGGGCCAUAUGAGCUCAGAUGGUUUGGACAGGGGUUGUGUCUGUGUUUGCUUUGGUUUCACUGAUGCUCUGACUUCUGCUUAAACAAAGCCUUCCAAUUUGAUACUGCAUUAGAAUAGUCAGUAUGGCUUCUGAAUACCCUGGGACUGCUGGGCGUAUGCUCUGAUUUCAGCCUCAGUUGGUAUGUGUGGGGGUCAAGGAUCAGUGCCUCCUUGUAGUGGUGACAGGUGUCUCUGCCUAACCCUGCUGCUUCCUCUUUCUGCAUUUCUCAGGUGGUGCAGGUCUUGUGGCACUGUGUGAAGUUUCUUCCCCUUAUUCUUUCUCCUUUUUAAGUCAAUGCAAGCUGAUUGCAUUUAAAAUUCCAUUUCCUACACACUGAAAAAAGUAGAUUCCAAGGCAGAAACCAAAAGGGAGAUGUCCUGAGUUGGAACUGUGACCUAGGUCCUUGAAGGAUUUUCCCCACUAAGGAAGAUCCUCAGCUGGUUAAUUUGAUUGAAUUCCUGACUUUUUAGGAUGAGAAAACCCAAGAGCAAAGUAAUAACAUUGCAAGCACUAGAACAUUUCAGAGGGGAAACCAUUGGGCAAAAGCCAGUAGCCUCCCUGAAAGAAAUGAUUCCCUUAGGUAAAUGAAUAUGGUAAUGCAAAUGAUCAGUGUUAUGGAAAAGAAAAUGAAGUUCCUCAACUGGGCCCAACCAGACAUGGUGGGGAGCAAUGCUCAUGAAGUUCUUGUUGUAGGAGACAAUCCUAGAUAAAGAAUACAAGUUCUCCACAGGUUUAAAUCAUACACUGGUGCUCACAGCCAAUCUGUCCAAACACACAAGAAAUAUGAUAUAGUUGAUGAUCAUUAAAAAAGCAAUAUUAAAUUGAAAACAAUUUAUUUUGACUUAUAGCUCUCAACAAUUAGAACUGACAAUUUCAAAAUUUAAAAUAACGAAUAACCAACUGCUUUUAGAGUCAAAGUUGGAAUUAUAAAGUUGAUCCUGUUACAAGUUCCACUUGAAUUCCAACAGCCUUGCAGACCUUUAGAGAAGGGAAGAAGUAGAAAAGUAGGAAGAUAUGUUAAGAAAUAAAGAGGAAUCAGGGGAAAUGCAGAAGAAUGAGCAAGUAAUAAUUGAGUUGCACAUAUGUGUAUUCGUUCUGUGAAGAAUCUAUUCUAUUCUGCCUUGGCUUGUUUCCUUAUUUUGUUUUAAAAUAGGACUGCUACUAUUGGUUGAACUCAGUAAUUAACACACAAUUAUUCUUAGGUGUUUAAAUCUUAACUGAAAAUGAUCCCUGUUAAAUAUAGGAGUGGGAAUAAGAGAGGGAGGAGAUGUACAAUCUGGGACAUGCUCAAUCGGACUUGCCCCAAAUGGUGGAGUUAGA